Molecule: ribosomal RNA, 501 nt
Filed under: uncultured bacterium
Lineage: Bacteria
Description: partial 16S ribosomal RNA
Rfam family: Bacterial small subunit ribosomal RNA
Source: RNAcentral
AUUGAACGCUGGCGGCAUGCCUUACACAUGCAAGUCGAACGGCAGCACGGGUGCUUGCACCUGGUGGCGAGUGGCGAACGGGUGAGUAAUAUAUCGGAACGUACCUUAUUGUGGGGGAUAACGCAGCGAAAGCUGUGCUAAUACCGCAUAAUCCCUAAGGGGGAAAGCGGGGGACCGUAAGGCCUCGCGCAAUUAGAGCGGCCGAUACCUGAUUAGCUAGUUGGUGAGGUAAAGGCUCACCAAGGCAACGAUCAGUAGCUGGUCUGAGAGGACGAUAAGCCACACUGGGACUGAGACACGGCCCAGACUCCUACGGGAGGCAGCAGUGGGGAAGUUUGGACAAUGGGGGGAACCCUGAUCCAGCAAUGCCGCGUGAGUGAAGAAGGCCUUCGGGUUGUAAAGCUCUUUUGUCAGGGAAGAAACAGCAGCUCUAACACAGUUUGCGAAUGACGGUACCUGAAGAAUAAGCACCGGCUAACUACGUGCCAGCCGCCGCCGUAA